This 1187-nucleotide ribosomal RNA is filed under the name Poinsettia branch-inducing phytoplasma. Its description in RNAcentral is "bacterial SSU rRNA". It matches the Rfam family "Bacterial small subunit ribosomal RNA", at positions 214 to 1409 of the family's 1533-position model. The record is from RNAcentral. Lineage: Bacteria; Bacillati; Mycoplasmatota; Mollicutes; Acholeplasmatales; Acholeplasmataceae.
UAUGCUUAAGGAGGGGCUUGCGACACAUUAGUUAGUUGGCAGGGUAAAGGCCUACCAAGACUAUGAUGUGUAGCUGGACUGAGAGGUUGAACAGCCACAUUGGGACUGAGACACGGCCCAAACUCCUACGGGAGGCAGCAGUAGGGAAUUUUCGGCAAUGGAGGAAACUCUGACCGAGCAACGCCGCGUGAACGAUGAAGUACCUCGGUAUGUAAAGUUCUUUUAUUAGGGAAGAAAAAAGAGUGGAAAAACUCCCUUGACGGUACUUAAUGAAUAAGCCCCGGCUAAUUAUGUGCCAGCAGCCGCGGUAAUACAUAAGGGGCGAGCGUUAUCCGGAAUUAUUGGGCGUAAAGGGUGCGUAGGCGGUUUAAUAAGUCUAUAGUUUAAUUUCAGUGCUUAACGCUGUUGUGCUAUAGAAACUGUUUUACUAGAGUGAGAUAGAGGCAAGCGGAAUUCCAUGUGUAGCGGUAAAAUGCGUAAAUAUAUGGAGGAACACCAGAGGCGUAGCCGGCUUGCUGGGUCUUUACUGACGCUGAGGCACGAAAGCGUGGGGAGCAAACAGGAUUAGAUACCCUGGUAGUCCACGCCGUAAACGAUGAGUACUAAGUGUCGGGUAAAACUGGUACUGAAGUUAACACAUUAAGUACUCCGCCUGAGUAGUACGUACGCAAGUAUGAAACUUAAAGGGAUUGACGGGACUCCGCACAAGCGGUGGAUCAUGUUGUUUAAUUCGAAGAUACACGAAAAACCUUACCAGGUCUUGACAUUUUCUUGCGAAAUUAUAGAAAUAUAAUGGAGGUUAUCAGGAAAACAGGUGGUGCAUGGUUGUCGUCAGCUCGUGUCGUGAGAUGUUAGGUUAAGUCCUAAAACGAGCGCAACCCUUGUCGUUAAUUGCCAGCAUGUAAUGAUGGGGACUUUAACGAGACUGCCAAUGAAAAAUUGGAGGAAGGUGGGGAUUACGUCAAAUCAUCAUGCCCCUUAUGAUCUGGGCUACAAACGUGAUACAAUGGUUGAUACAAAGAGUAGCUGAAACGCGAGUUCUUAGCCAAUCUCAAAAAAUCAAUCUCAGUUCGGAUUGAAGUCUGCAACUCGACUUCAUGAAGUUGGAAUCGCUAGUAAUCGCGAAUCAGCAUGUCGCGGUGAAUACGUUCACGGGGUUUGUACACACCGCCCGUCAAAUCACUAGU